CAGUAGCCGCGGUAAGACAGAGGAUGCAAGCGUUAUCCGGAAUGAUUGGGCGUAAAGCGUCUGUAGGUGGCUUCUCAAGUCCGCCGUCAAAUCCCAGGGCUCAACCCUGGACAGGCAGUAGAAACUACCAAGCUGGAGUACGAUAGGGGAGAGGGAAUUUCCGGUGGAGCGGUGAAAUGCAUUGAGAUUGGAAAGAACACCAACGGCGAAAGCACUCUGUUGGGCCGACACUGACACUGAGAGACGAAAGCUAAGGGAGAAAAUGGGAUUAGAUACCCCCGUAGUCCCUGUCUCUUAUACA
RNAcentral lists this ribosomal RNA (301 nucleotides) under uncultured bacterium. RNAcentral's name for it is "partial 16S ribosomal RNA". It matches the Rfam family "Bacterial small subunit ribosomal RNA", at positions 509 to 809 of the family's 1533-position model. The record is from RNAcentral.